GUGUGUGUGUGUGUGUGUGUGUAUGUAUGUAUGUACAUAUGUGUAUGUAUAUUAAAUUAAUAUUAAAUUAAUAUUGGCACCCUUGGUAAAUAUGAGCAAAUAAGGCUAUGAAAAAUUGUUUUUAUUGUUUAACCUUUUGAUAUUUUGUUCAAAAAAUUCACAAACGUACUCCGCUCUCAUGGAUAUAAUGGUUUGUUUGACUUUCAUACACCUCUCAUGAAGCAUUCAAAUCUACUGAAAGAUAUCCAUAGGAAAGUGAAGAAAGUGAAGAAAAAGAAGACUUUUGGUUUUCCAAAAGUAGCAGGAACAUCAGCUCUGAAAUUGGGGGAGGCAACACGUUCUUUUAACCAACCUUCUGAUUUUUGGAGUUCUAAACAGGUACAUUGUUCAUCAAAUAGGAAGGGACCGUCAUGGGAUGACCAUGGGAGGAUCUCUCUCGGCACAGCAGUGACACUGACACGUGAUGCUGGCAUGAGUAUAUCAGAAGCGUUCUGCUGCUGAAGUGAAAUCGAAUGUGUCCAGUGUUUCUCUACAGCUUGAGAUGUACACCAGCCUGGUGACCUUCUCCUCCUGAUGCAGGAUGUAACACGUUACAGGAGGGAAAAAAAUGCGCAGGCAGAGACCUUAUUUAGGUAUGCAAUUACGAACGUACUUUAUUUAAUGCAUGUCUGCUUCAUGUCGAUAUUUUUACCAGACAUUGUGUCCGAUAGUUUUGGAUUUUUUCACACAUUAUCAAACUUUUUAAUGGGCGAAAAACAGUAUUUACCAUCUAACAGAAACUCUGGUACAGUUAUGUAAAAACCAGACAUAAGUAUAGUAACAAAGGAAUUGCCAAACAGGAACGGACAUUUAACUUGGCUGUAUUAUAAACACUCAGAACAGUCAACAAACUUGACUAUUAACCUCCAUGGCCUGCAUCACCUCAUAAGUGGCACCAUGAUUACAGCAAAGUGAGUCCCACUUUUAACCAGGGUCGCUGUUAUUUUCCAGGCUUGUUAAGCCCUACUAUUAAAUCACUCCAAAAAUCAAAGAGGAUAACAAUUGCCCAGUGACUACGCAUCAAACUGUCGGCUAUACAUAAU
This is a long non-coding RNA of Ictalurus punctatus (channel catfish), 1082 nucleotides long. Lineage: Eukaryota; Metazoa; Chordata; Actinopteri; Siluriformes; Ictaluridae. The record is from Ensembl.